CCAGCACAGUGUUUAUUUCACGACUGAGACGUGCGCACACACAGACAUGAGGUCCCGAGUGGCUGUGGCAGAACCCAGGGACCUGUCCGCUCGGUGCCUGGGGCCACUCUGCUCACAGCCCAGCUGGCCUUCCCACUGCCUCCCAGCACCUUCUAGCUAAUGGGACAGCGGGGUCAUUCCCCCAGGCAGCGCCCAGCCUCGUGCCUGCAUCUGAAGGGCUCAGGAGCGUUACCCACCCCGUUCUGGAAGGGUGGCGGGGGUGGGCGGGCCGCAUCUGGUCAGCAGCUGCAGCCCGUCUGUGUUCGUGGCGGCACAACCUUCCUAGAGUCUGCAGGGCACCUCCCCUUCCUGUAGGCGCCCUCCCAGGUCCCGCUGCCCCCAUGCUGCCCCAGACCCCUUGCGCUUGCCUGUCCUGAGGUGACCCACCCCCAGCACCGCCUGCCUCUUGCUGGAACCCUGGCCAGUGCAGGUGGGAAGUGUUGCAGGCUGGCGUGCGGAAUAGCUCGAUGCGAAUAUUUCUGUAACAUCCGGAGCAUGCCAGCAGCUCACACGGCAGGGUGGCCUGAGGGUUGGGACCAGCCGCCGUUUGUCUGGGUGGGUGUCCGAGGCAGAGCAUAGCCAGGCUGGGCCCGCCAGGGAGACCUCAGUCGCCUAAGAAGCUGCCCUGACGGGUCCCUUGUUCAAGACUCUGAUGUGGUCAUGCUAUAUCUAAGGCCCUGGCCAGGGCUUGGCCACUGGCCGCUGGUCUUGGGAGCAUUGAGCUUGGUCUGGGGUACGGAGGGCAUCUGGGCGCCCCACCCGAGAGUGCUGGCAGUGUGGACACAGGCUGGUGGGGAGGCGCUCUGCAGCUUAGCGCCUGGCGCUUUGGAGGAAAAUGUUUGGUCCAGGUCGCGAGGACAGCUCGAGACCCACCUUAACUGGAGCCAUGUGCCACCUGCGGGGGCAGAGGUGGCAGGGCUUGCAGGGGAUGCCGGUCCAGAGGCCCUGCAGCCUGGCUAGCUGGUGAGGGCAGAUUCCAGGAGGCAGCCCAGCUGAGGGUGAUGCUCCGGUGAGCACAGGGGAGCCAGGCCCCGGAGCAGAGCUGUCCUGCUGACCGAGGCUCUCAGGCCGGAGGGAGCCAGCAGAGGCCCCCAGUGGACCAGGCUGGCCUUGAGGGGAAGGCACCCGAGAGGCAAAGAGCUGGCCUGACUGGCACGCAGGUUGGCGCUGGAUGCCAGAGGCAGACCCUGGUCAGAGGCUGCUCGGGGCUGUGUCCUGACGGCCCUCGGGGCUUGGGGGACACUCAGCUGCUCUUGUGCUGUCCUCUGGUGGACAGGCGCCCUCCCCUCGGGCAGUCCUUGCUGGUCGCUGGGCCCCGGUGUGGCUGGCCUGCCUUCGGGACCUUCCUUGGGGCCAGGCCUGCUGUGGGCCUGACUGGAACCCCAGGUCCUCCGUGGCACCUUGCCCUCAGCGGAGGGGCCGCCCACCACAGCCGCUCUCCAGGGAGGAAGCAGCUGCUGCCCGAGGACAGGCAGGCGCUCCGCUGGGAACGUGGACCUGGAGCUCAGAGGAAACGGAAAACUUGAAGUUUAAACAGUGUUUUGUUUUGUUUUUCCAAAAUAGGUCCAGGAAGAGUGAAGUGACUUGUUUCAAGUCAGGGCAAAGUGGCUCUAAGGGAGCCCCUGGCAGUGGGUCUUGCUGAGUGUCUGCCCGGAGGGGGUCACUGCCUCUGGGCUGAAGGCGGGCGGCAGUGUUCCAGGCAGUUCCUAUGGGCGAGGGUGUCCUGGGAGCCAUUGGAAAACCACGGGGCCAUGCUCGGGCUCUCAAAUCCACACGCUGGCCUCUGCACAGGCGGCUAGCACGCUCCGUCUCCCCCCAUCCUCAAGUCCUUUGUGCAGGGGGGCCGCUUCUGCGGGAGAGGCCACCAUAUCCUCAGGGCUGUGGCAGAAACAAGCCCAGCUUGAAGGCCCACCUCUCUGCCUGGUGGUCAGCACUGUCCACACCUCUCAAGUGUCCAGGGUGGGGUUAGGGGAGCUGAGUGGCCCGAGCAGCCUGGUCCUGGCACCUCUCCUUGACCAGCUCUGGACGGAGGUGGGCAGCUGGCAGGGCUGGUACAGGGACUGCAGAACACCUGCCUUUCGGCUGGGGGUGACCCUGACCUCCGGGGCCUCGGGCCUCGGUCGGAACCCGGGCCAAGUGGCCGCUCCAAGGACCGCAGCUGAUCAGGAAGGAGGGGCUUGUGGUGGAGACUCCGCAGCGAGUGAGGAGCCGCGGUGCCGGGGCUUUGCGUGGGGCCUCCGCCCU
Molecule: long non-coding RNA, 2283 nt
Filed under: Sus scrofa (pig)
Lineage: Eukaryota; Metazoa; Chordata; Mammalia; Artiodactyla; Suidae
Description: lncRNA (ENSSSCG00055006217.1)
Source: RNAcentral